UGAAAAUAGCCCAAUACGUAUAGUACAGCAGUGGGGAAUAUUGGUCAAUAGCCUAACGGCUGAACCAGCAAUUUGGGAGAAUGAGGUUGGUAACAUGACAAGUGGGGCCAGAGAAUAGCUAUGCAAGAUGAGCUAUUUUCUGGCGGGGAAUCGGCUUAGUCGAAUAAAGUUCUAGAUAGAAUAGUGAUUAUGACAAUUUUCUAUCUAAAUGUCUUGACCAAGUCACGUGCCAGCAGUCGCGGUAAUACGUGGAAGACUAGUGUUAUUCAUCUUUAAUAGGUUUAAAGGGUACCUAGACGGUAUUUCUAGCCCCAAAAGGGUACGGAUUUACUAGAGUUUUAUGUGAGAGGCAAAUAUUAGUACUAUUGGUGUAGAGAUGAAAUUCUUUGAUACUACUAGGACUGGUGGCGGCGAAAGCAACCCUCUAAGUAUAAACUGACGUUGAGGGACGAAGGCUUGGGUAGCGAAUAGGAUUAGAUACCCUAGUAGUCCAGGCAGAAAAUUAUGAGUGCCAUAGACUAGAUUAAAUAAUUUUGGUCUAUAAAUGAAAGUGUAAGCAUUCCACCUCAAGAGUAAUGUGGCAACGCAGGAACUGAAAUCAUUAGACCGUUUCUGAAACCAGUAGUGAAGUAUGUUAUUUAAUUCGAUAAUCCUCGAAAAACCUUACCACAAUUUGAAUGUAAUACAUGUAAUCUAAUAAUUGUCUAGUCAACAAUU
Molecule: ribosomal RNA, 717 nt
Filed under: Lichenothelia arida
Lineage: Eukaryota; Fungi; Ascomycota; Dothideomycetes; Lichenotheliales; Lichenotheliaceae
Description: SSU rRNA
Rfam family: Bacterial small subunit ribosomal RNA
Source: RNAcentral